GCUACACAAGUGCAAUAAACAAGUGACCCCCCCCCCCCUUUCCUUUCUUUUUUAAAGAUCCAGGUGUUAGAACCAAGAUUGGGGAUGAAAAAUCAACUGAAAAACUUGAAAAACUAAUGUUUGAAAAUAAGGAGGCACACUGGGUCAUGAAAAGUACCCAGAAGAAUCAGUGUGGAAAAUCCAUAGGAGAAACACUGAAAAAUACGAAUGAAAAUUCUAGGAAGGUGAAUGACAAAGCUAAGAAAAUUAUGAUGGAUGUGUCAGAACUAAAAGGUAAAGAUCUAAAGGAAAGUUUGACUGAAAACUUGGAAUAUGUCAUAUGUAAGAGAGUUCCUAAUGGGUGUAGUUUCUGUGAAUGUAGCACAGGUUGUGAAAAUACCUGUUGGCAGUCAGACCUUAUUCUUCAUGAGGAAAUGCAUGUCAAAGAGAAAGCUUGUGAAUGUGAUGAAUGUGGAAAAGGUUUCAGGGUGUCCUCAGCUCUUACCUUACAUAAAAGAAUCCACAGUGGUGAGAAGCCUUACGCAUGUGAUGACUGUGGGAAAGCCUUCAGCCAGAGCUCUGCCCUAACCCAACAUAAAAGAAUCCACAGUGGGGAGAGACCAUAUAUGUGUGACCAGUGCCACAAAGCCUUCAAUGGGAGCUCAGAUCUUAUUAAACACAAGAGAAUUCACACUGGAGAGAAACCUUAUGAAUGUGGGGACUGUGGGAAGUCCUUUAGGAAUAUCUCGGCCCUCACUGAACAUCACCGAAUCCAUACUGGAGAGAAACCUUUCGAAUGUAAUGAAUGCUGGAAGGCCUUCAGUAGCAGGUCAGCACUUUCUCAGCAUAAAGGGAUUCACAAUGGAGGGAAGCCCUAUGAAUGCAGUGACUGUGGAAAAACCUUCAAGACAAGGAAUUGUCUUACCAUGCAUCAGAAAAUUCACACUGGGGAGAAGCCUUAUGAAUGUAGUGAAUGUGGCAAGGCCUUCCAGUUUAGGCACUGCCUUACCAUGCAUCAGAGGAUCCACACUGGAGAGAAACCCUAUGAAUGUACAGAGUGUGGGAAGGCCUUUAGUGGUAGUUCAGACCUUACCAAACACAAGAGAAUCCACACUGGAGAAAAGCCUUACCAGUGUGCUGAGUGUGGGAAGGCUUUCAGUUGCAGCUCUGACCUUACCAAACAUAAAAUAAUUCACACUGGGGAGAAACCAUAUAGUUGUAAUCAGUGUGGAAAGGCCUUUGGUGGGAAGUCAGACCUUACCAAACAUAAACGAAUCCACACUGGGGAGAAGCCUUAUGAGUGUCAAGAGUGUGGAAAAGCCUUCAGUUAUAGCUCAGGCCUUAGACACCACAAGAAAGUCCAUAAUGGAGAGAAACCCUUUGAAUGUCAUGAGUGUGGGAAGACCUUUCAUCAAAGCUCAGAACUCAAUGUACACAAAAGACUCCACACAGGAGAAAAACCAUAUAAAUGUGAAAAGUGUGGGAAAACUUUCAGGGUGAGCUCAGAUCUCAAUGGGCAUAAAAUAAGAAAGCAUACUAAAAUCCCCUGAGUUUGCAGAUGAAAAAUCAUUGAGUCCAAUAUGCUUUCCUCAACCUUAUGCACAUCUACCUCCUUGCAGCAGUUGAUACCAAGGAGACCUUACUUUUUGGAGAUAUAACCCUGAUUAAUAUUGUAUCUUGCCUAUUGUUAUUCUCAUUGCUCUUACCUUACCCUACUUUUCCCCCAUAGCUUUUAAUAACUAAUAAUAUAUUUUAUUUAUGCUAUUUAUUUGUAUGUAUAUUAUCUUACUACUUUGAUAGAGUAUAAACUCCACGCAGGCAGGAAACCUUAUCUUUUGUUAACUGAUGUAUUAUUAUUCUAAGCCACUAGAAUCUUGGCUGAUAAAUGGCAGGAGGUUGUGGGGGUGAAGUGGAGUGGGGGAGGAGGAAAGAAACUCAAUAAAUAGUUUUGAAUGAAAUUAAUUCCUUGGUUUCCAUGAUAUGCUGUUUCUUGGUUCCCCUUUUGUGUUUCCAGCUGUUUUUCCCCUUUGUCUUUGUUGACUACUAUUGGUCCCCUCAUCCAUAAAAUGUGGCUGUAUAUCAUUAUGCUCUGUUAUUUAAGAAAAGAGUCUUCAUUGUCUGCAUUGCCUAGUUGCCUGUAUAUUCUCCUAACCUUCACAACAAUCUUGUUUGACAAAAUAUUACUCUGUUCUCACCUUUAUGUCUAUAAUGUGUUUAAUGUAAAUAAACUAUACACAUGCUAUUUCUGUAUUAGAUUGGGCAUUUCAAGGCAUUAUCAUGGAAGGGAAAAAAUAAAUGUGUUUAUGCCAUUCUCUUAUCUGAAGGUCAAGAAAGAAAGAGGUUCUUUUAUCUCAAGAAUGUGAGCAAAAAAUAUCAAUACUGUAUUUAAAAUCUAUACUAAAUCCAUUUUUUAAAAAAACAUGUAGGUAGUUCCCUGUGUGUACUAUUGCAUCCUUAUAGUAUGGACUCUAGACACACUUUACAGAGCAGUCAACAAUAUUCUUUAGAAAUGUAGAUUAGGUAAUGUACUUAAAAUUCUCCACUGGCUUCUUGUCACUUUUUCCUCCUUUUUAAAUGGAACAUUUUGUCGCAUUUGCUAAUUUCUUCCUGAACCAUUUUAAAAUAAGUUUAAGAUAUACCACCUAUCCCCAAACACUUCAGUAUGUCUCUCCUGAGAAUAAGCAUAUUUUUUCAUAAUUGUAAUGUCACUUUUAUUCCUAAAAAAUGAUUUAUAAUUCUUAUUGAAUUAUAAAUUACAACAAAUAUCUUACCUAUAUUCAAAUUUCCUUGUUGUCCUUAAAAGUCUUUUAAGCUGUUUUCUCCCCCCAUCAGAAUUCAAUUAGGGUAUACACUUUGCAAUCACUACAUUUUUUUUUUUUAGUUUAUUUUGAUCUAGAAUCAUGCUGUCUAUUACUGUAGUCAAUAGCCACAUGUCUGCUGAGCACAAAUAGAAUCAUGCUGUCUAUUACUGUAGUCAGUAGCCACAUGUCUGCUGAGCACAAGUGAAAAUGGCUAGUCUGAAUUAAAAUGCAUGACAAGUGUAAAAUACAUAAUCAGUUUUGAUUUCAUGUAGAAAAUAAAAUUCUUAAUUUUAAUGUUGAUUAAUGCUGAUAUAAUAAUUUGGAUAUAUGGGUUGAAUAAAAUAUAAUUAAAAUCAAUUUCAGCAAUUUUUACUUUUGGCACUAGAAAACUUAAAAUACAUAUGUAGCUUAUAGUUGUUGCUUACAUGGUAUUUCUAUGGGAUAUUGUGAAUCUAGAACAAUGGACUUACUUUCUC
RNAcentral lists this long non-coding RNA (3256 nucleotides) under Marmota monax (woodchuck). Lineage: Eukaryota; Metazoa; Chordata; Mammalia; Rodentia; Sciuridae. The record is from RNAcentral.